RNAcentral lists this unclassified non-coding RNA (312 nucleotides) under Hevea brasiliensis (rubber tree). The record is from RNAcentral. Lineage: Eukaryota; Viridiplantae; Streptophyta; Magnoliopsida; Malpighiales; Euphorbiaceae.
AUAUACAACAUUCAAUAUGUUAACAAGUCACAUUCCACCCAACCUGAGACAAAUUAUCAAUAGCUGAAGAAACAGGUCCACAAAACUCUUGAAAAGACAAAUGCUAUUGAGGGCUAAAUAUUUGAAAUUUAAACAUCCACAAGAUAACAUCCAAAACAACUUUAGUGCAAAAAAAGCCUUGAAACUGAUUGAUGUGAGCAGAUGCAGGCAUGCAGCAAGAAACUAUGGUCAUUUGACAUUUAUACAAGAAUAUAUUCUUAUCUAGAUAGGAUACUAGGAAAUCUCCAUACCAGUGGUUCAAAAUCAUGGGUA